CUCGUCUUCUGUCCAAGUUGGUCGCUUCCCUGCACCAAAGUGAGCAGUAGCCAACAUGUCAGGAUGGGAGUCCUAUUACAAAACCGAGGGCGAUGAAGAAGCAGAAGAACAAGAAGAGGAUAACCUUGAAGCAAGUGGAGACUACAAAUAUUCAGGAAGAGAUAGUUUGAUUUUUUUGGUUGAUGCCUCCAGGGCUAUGUUUGAAUCUCAAAGUGAAGAUGAGUUGACUCCUUUUGACAUGACCAUCCAGUGUAUCCAAAGUGUGUACAUCAGUAAGACCAUAAGCAGUGAUCAAGAUCUCUUGGCAGUGGUGUUCUAUGGUACUGAGAAAGACAAAAAUGCAGUGAAUUUUAAAAAUAUUUACGUCUUACAGGAGUUGGAUAAUCCAGGUGCAAAACGAAUUCUAGAGCUUGACCAGUUUAAGGGGCAGCAGGGACAGAAACGUUUCCAAGAGCUGAUGGGCCACGGAUCUAACUACUCACUCAGUGAAGUGCUGUGGGUCUGUGCCAACCUCUUUAGUGAUGUCCAGUUCAAGAUGAGUCAUAAGAGGAUCAUGCUUUUCACCAAUGAAGACAACCCCCAUGGCAAUGACAGUGCCAAAGUCAGCCGGGCCAGGACCAAAGCCAGUGAUCUCCGAGAUACAGGCAUCUUCCUUGACUUGAUGCACCUGAAGAAACCUGGGGGCUUUGACAUAUCCUUGUUCUACAGAGAUAUUAUCAGCAUAGCAGAGGAUGAGGACCUCAGGGUUCACUUUGAGGAAUCCAGCAAGCUAGAAGACCUGUUGCGGAAGGUUCGCGCCAAGGAGACCAGGAAGCGAGCACUUAGCAGGUUAAAGCUGAAGCUCAACAAAGAUAUAGUGAUCUCUGUUGGCAUUUAUAAUCUGGUCCAGAAGGCUCUCAAGCCUCCUCCAAUAAAGCUCUAUUGGGAAACAAAUGAACCAGUGAAAACCAAGACCUGGACAUUUAAUACAAGUACAGGUGGUUUGCUUCUGCCUAGCGAUACCAAGAGGUCGCAGAUCUAUGGGAGUCGUCAGAUUAUACUGGAGAAAGAGGAAACAGAAGAGCUAAAAUGAUUUGAUGAUCCAGGUUUGAUGCUCAUGGGCUUCAAGCCCUUGGUAAUGUUGAAGAAGCACCAUUACCUGAGACCCUCCCUGUUCGUGUACCCAGAGGAGUCUCUGGUGAUUGGGAGCUCAACCCUGUUCAGUGCUCUGCUCAUCAAGUGUCUGGAGAAGGAGGUUGCAGCAUUGUGCAGAUACACACCCCGGAGGAACAUCCCCCCUUAUUUUGUGGCUUUGGUUCCACAGGAUGAGGAGUUGGAUGACCAGAAAAUUCAGGUCACUCCUCCAGGCUUUCAGCUGGUCUUUUUACCAUUUGCUGAUGAUAAAAGGAAGAUGCCCUUUACUGAAAAAAUCAUGGCAACUCCAGAGCAGGUGGACAAGAUGAAGGUAUUGUUGAGAAGCUCUGCUUCACAUACAGAAGUGACAGCUUUGAGAACCCCGUGCUGCAGCAGCACUUCAAGAACCUGGAGGCCUUGGCCUUGGAUUUGAUGGAGCCUGAAUAAGCAGUGGACCUGACAUUGCCCAAGGUUGAAGCAAUGAAUUAAAGACUGGGUUCCCUGGUGGAUGAAUUUAAGGACCUGGUUUACCCUCCAGAUUACAAUCCUGAAGGGAAAGUUACCAAGAGAAAACACGAUAAUGAAGGUUCCGGAAGCAAAAGGCCCAAGGUGGAGUAUUCAGAAGAAGAGCUGAAGACCCACAUCAGCAAGGGCACACUGGGCAAGCUCAUUGUGCCCAUGCUGAAAGAGGCUUGCCGGGCAUACGGGCUGAAGAGUGGGCUGAAGAAGCAGGAGCUGCUGGAAGCCCUCAUCAAGCACUUCCAGGACUGACCAGAGGCCGUACACACAGCCAUCCUUCCACAGUGUGGCCAGGCUGCCUGGCCUUGUUCUCAGCCAGUUAAAAUGUGUUUCUGCUGAGCUAGAAAGAGUCUACCCGACAGAAGUCGAGGGACUUUAUGUUUUUGAGGCUUUCUGUUGCCAUGGUGAUGGUGUAGCCCUCCUACUUUGCUGUUCCUUACUUUACUGCCUGAAUAAAGAGCCCUAAGUUUGUACUA
Molecule: RNA transcript, 2108 nt
Organism: Sapajus apella (tufted capuchin)
Lineage: Eukaryota; Metazoa; Chordata; Mammalia; Primates; Cebidae
Gene name: X-ray repair cross-complementing protein 6 pseudogene
Exons: 1
Source: RefSeq, a predicted model, not a curated record